Molecule: ribosomal RNA, 479 nt
Filed under: uncultured bacterium
Lineage: Bacteria
Description: bacterial SSU rRNA
Rfam family: Bacterial small subunit ribosomal RNA
Source: RNAcentral
GAUGAACGCUAGCGGGAGGCCUAACACAUGCAAGCCGAGCGGUAGAAGUCCUUCGGGACUUUGAGAGCGGCGUACGGGUGCGUAACACGUGUGCAACCUACCUUUAUCUGGGGGAUAGUCUUUCGAAAGGAAGAUUAAUACCCCAUAAUAUAUUGAGUGGCAUCAUUUAAUAUUGAAAACUCCGGUGGAUAGAGAUGGGCACGCGCAAGAUUAGAUAGUUGGUGAGGUAACGGCUCACCAAGUCUGUGAUCUUUAGGGGUCCUGAGAGGGAGAUCCCCCACACUGGUACUGAGACACGGACCAGACUCCUACGGGAGGCAGCAGUGAGGAAUAUUGGACAAUGGGUGAAAGCCUGAUCCAGCCAUCCCGCGUGAAGGAUGACGGUCCUAUGGAUUGUAAACUUCUUUUGUACAGGGAUAAACCUACUCUCGUGAGGGUAGCUGAAGGUACUGUACGAAUAAGCACCGGCUAACUCCGUG